CAGCAGCCACGGUAAUACGUAGGUGGCAAGCGUUGUCCGGAAUUAUUGGGCGUAAAGGGCUCGCAGGCGGUUUCUUAAGUCUGAUGUGAAAGCCCCCGGCUCAACCGGGGAGGGUCAUUGGAAACUGGGAAACUUGAGUGCAGAAGAGGAGAGUGGAAUUCCACGUGUAGCGGUGAAAUGCGUAGAGAUGUGGAGGAACACCAGUGGCGAAGGCGACUCUCUGGUCUGUAACUGACGCUGAGGAGCGAAAGCGUGGGGAGCAAAUGGGAUUAGAUACCCGCGUAGUCCCUGUCUCUUAUAC
RNAcentral lists this ribosomal RNA (301 nucleotides) under uncultured bacterium. RNAcentral's name for it is "partial 16S ribosomal RNA". It matches the Rfam family "Bacterial small subunit ribosomal RNA", at positions 509 to 807 of the family's 1533-position model. The record is from RNAcentral.